This is an RNA transcript of Vombatus ursinus (common wombat), 1157 nucleotides long. It is a transcript of the gene named cysteine rich DPF motif domain containing 1, with no coding region annotated. Lineage: Eukaryota; Metazoa; Chordata; Mammalia; Diprotodontia; Vombatidae. The transcript has 5 exons. The record is from RefSeq and is a predicted model, not a curated record.
CCAUCCCCCUCCCUUCCCCCCUCGUUUAGAGACCUUCCGAGGCUCCCUAGAGCCCCGGCGUAGGAUACAUUGUAUCCCUGUGCUGACUUCCUCUGCGCGCCUCCCUCCUGCUGUGAACGUUGUGCCAAAGCCUGGGGGCGGGAGAUGGAGGGCGGAUGGGGAAUUUGAACACAAGUCUUCCUUAAUCCGGUGCUGCCUUUCGGGCCCGUGCCCAUUACCCCGGGUCUGCUCCUGAAUAUGGCAUCUUCCAGUGAGCAGGAGCCCAGAGGCAUGUUUGAAUGCCAGUUGUGUGGCCUGACUGUACCAUACAGCUACGUGGGGCAGAAACCUCCCAACACCAGGACUGUCGUACUCCUGGAGGAAUGCUACGUGUUGAAGGACCCCUUCAGCUCAGACAAAGACAAAUUCCUGAUCCUUGGUUCCCAGUGUAGCCUCUGCAGCAAGCUGGUGUGCGUGGGCCCGGAGUGUAGUUUAUUCUACUCGAAGAGGUUUUGCCUCCCUUGUGUUCGUGAGAAUCUCAGUGCUUUCCCUCAGGAGAUACGGCAAGAUGUGGAGAAGAGACAUGCUCUGUCCAAAACUGGCUCUAGGAAGCUUGCCUCGAGGACCUGAUCGUAGGGUCCUGGCAAGAACAAGGCCCUGGCUGCCCCUUGCUGUCGUGACCCUUUUCUCCCAUCUUGUUCCUGUGAGCAGAGGACCUGAGGGGACCUUCCAUUGACCAUCAUUGUGGCUUCUGAAGGGCGCUGGAGGUAUCCAGGGGGCCAAGCCACCCUUACGGGAUGUCUCUCACAUUGCUGUGGUCACUAUUUCCAACUCUGGAAAUCAGAGGAAUUCUGGCUUCAGCUGAUCUGAGCCAGGGCCAGGCCCAUUGACAGGGGCCUCUCAGCAGGGGCAGGGCCCUGCCUUCGAGGCUUGGAUGUCUUUUGGCUUACCGAGAGGAGAGGCUUGUGCUGGGAGUGGAUCUGACCUAUUUUAAACUGGCCCUGUUUUUAAAAGUUAGAAGGAAAGAGAAUGACACGUUUUGCCUGAUUUAAGGGACCGGAUUUAAGUCUAAUCUCAAGUGCCUUAUGCCAGCUGCUGAGUUAAGGGGACUUUGAGGAUUACAGGGAAAAGAGAACCAGGCUUUGAUCCAAUUUCUGUCCAGUAGGUGGUAGUUAACA